This 222-nucleotide ribosomal RNA is filed under the name Klebsiella terrigena. Its description in RNAcentral is "Raoultella terrigena partial 16S ribosomal RNA". It matches the Rfam family "Bacterial small subunit ribosomal RNA", at positions 1 to 215 of the family's 1533-position model. The record is from RNAcentral. Lineage: Bacteria; Pseudomonadati; Pseudomonadota; Gammaproteobacteria; Enterobacterales; Enterobacteriaceae.
ACUUAAAUUGAAGAGUUUGAUCAUGGCUCAGAUUGAACGCUGGCGGCAGGCCUAACACAUGCAAGUCGAGCGGUAGCACAGGAGAGCUUGCUCUUUGGGUGACGAGCGGCGGACGGGUGAGUAAUGUCUGGGAAACUGCCUGAUGGAGGGGGAUAACUACUGGAAACGGUAGCUAAUACCGCAUAACGUCGCAAGACCAAAGUGGGGGACCUUCGGGCCUCA